CUCAGAGUAUCAAUAGAGGAGGAAUGUACAGUGCUCAGAGUAUCAAUAGAGGAGGAAUGUACAGUGCUCAGAGUAUCAAUAGAGGAGGAAUGUACAGUGCUCAGAGAAUCAAAAGAGGAGGCAUGAACAGUGCUCAGAGUAUCGAUAGAGGGGGCAUGAACAGUGCUCAGAGUAUCGAUAGAGGAGGAAUAGACAGUGCUCAGAGUAUCGAUAGAGGAGGAAUAGACAGUGCUCAGAGUAUCGAUAGAGGAG
Molecule: non-coding RNA, 252 nt
Organism: Pelobates cultripes (western spadefoot toad)
Lineage: Eukaryota; Metazoa; Chordata; Amphibia; Anura; Pelobatidae
Source: the annotation of a GenBank genome assembly